RNAcentral lists this ribosomal RNA (253 nucleotides) under uncultured bacterium. RNAcentral describes it as "partial 16S ribosomal RNA". It matches the Rfam family "Bacterial small subunit ribosomal RNA", at positions 524 to 776 of the family's 1533-position model. The record is from RNAcentral.
UACAGAGGGUGCAAGCGUUGUCCGGAUUUAUUGGGCGUAAAGAGCGUGUAGGCGGCUGGGUAGGUCCGUUGUGAAAACUCGAGGCUCAACCUCGAGACGCCGAUGGAAACCCUCCAGCUAGAGUCCGGAAGAGGAGAGUGGAAUUCCUGGUGUAGCGGUGAAAUGCGUAGAUAUCUGGAGGAACACCGGUGGCGAAGGCGGCAUCCUGGACCGGCAUUGACGCUGAGGCGCGAAAGCCAGGGGAGCAAACGGG